Molecule: ribosomal RNA, 253 nt
Filed under: uncultured bacterium
Lineage: Bacteria
Description: partial 16S ribosomal RNA
Rfam family: Bacterial small subunit ribosomal RNA
Source: RNAcentral
UACGUAGGGCGCAAGCGUUAUCCGGAAUUAUUGGGCGUAAAGAGCUCGUAGGCGGUCUGUCACGUCGACUGUGAAAACCCGGGGCUCAACCCCGGGCCUGCAGUCGAUACGGGCAGACUAGAGUUCGGUAGGGGAGACUGGAAUUCCUGGUGUAGCGGUGAAAUGCGCAGAUAUCAGGAGGAACACCGGUGGCGAAGGCGGGUCUCUGGGCCGAAACUGACGCUGAGGAGCGAAAGCGUGGGGAGCGAACAGG